CCUGUGCAGGCUCCUCAGCCUCAUCUUCUCCUGCCAACAGCCACAUGUCUUGCUUGGCCUGCUGGAAUCCAAGGGCAUGCCCCUGUCAACACUUUGUGCUGCUGCUUUGUGUUACAAGCUCAGUCUGCACUGCUAAAUGUAGUGCUAAAACCUACAGAAAAGAGAAAGAGAACAAAAUUCAAGAAAUGGACACAUAUGGAUGAAGCUGUGGACUUAAGUGACCAGAACUAGGAGUACAGCUCAUAAAAGAUUCCUCCCAUCAAACUGAAAAUUCAACUCCCUUCAAUUACCAACCCUCCGUUCUCCACACCUCCUAUUCUCCAAAUCCUCUAGACAGGGACUCUUACUGGCCUGGACAUCACCAAGUAUGCAGAAAACGACAAGGUUCUUCCUGUUUCAUCCUCCCCAAUUGUG
Long non-coding RNA from Nannospalax galili (Upper Galilee mountains blind mole rat), 414 nucleotides. RefSeq lists it as uncharacterized. The record is from RefSeq and is a predicted model, not a curated record. NCBI's taxonomy places the organism in Eukaryota, Metazoa, Chordata, Mammalia, Rodentia, Spalacidae. The transcript is spliced from 4 exons.